UCCGGGGUAGCUCAGUGGUAGAGCAGGUGGCUGUUAACCACUUGGUCGCAGGUUCGAUCCCUGUCCCCGGAGCCA
RNAcentral lists this transfer RNA (75 nucleotides) under Candidatus Nomurabacteria bacterium. RNAcentral's name for it is "tRNA-Asn". It matches the Rfam family "tRNA". Rfam says of the family: Transfer RNA (tRNA) molecules are approximately 80 nucleotides in length. Lineage: Bacteria; Candidatus Nomuraibacteriota. The record is from RNAcentral.